ACUCAAAUGAAUUGACGGGGGCUUGCACAAGCGGUGGAGCGUGUGGCUUAAUUCGUCGCUAAGCGAAGAACCUUACCAGGGCUAGAAAUCCUACUGCACGCCUAGCGAAAGCUAGGAAGCCUUCGAGGGUGUAGGACAGGUGAUGCAUGGCUGUCGUCAGUUCGUGGUUUGAAUCGUUCCCUUCAGUGGGGUAACGAACGCAACCCUCGUUGCCUGUUACAAGUGUCAGGCGAGACUGCCCCCUCACGGGGGAGGAAGGUGAGGAUGACGCCAAGUCAGCAUGUCCCUCUGAUGUCCUGGGCUGCACACGCGCUACAAUGGCAUUUACAAAGGGGCGCAAUACGGCAACGUGGAGCAAAUCCCUAAAAGAUGCCUCAGUUCGGAUUGGGGUCUGCAACCCGACCCCAUGAAGCUGGAAUCGCUAGUAAUCGCGGGUCAGCCACACCGCGGUGAAUACGUUCUCAAGCCUUGUACACACCGCCCGU
Molecule: ribosomal RNA, 485 nt
Filed under: uncultured bacterium
Lineage: Bacteria
Description: partial 16S ribosomal RNA
Rfam family: Bacterial small subunit ribosomal RNA
Source: RNAcentral